Molecule: long non-coding RNA, 4177 nt
Filed under: Homo sapiens (human)
Lineage: Eukaryota; Metazoa; Chordata; Mammalia; Primates; Hominidae
Description: non-protein coding lnc-ZNF419-3:3
Source: RNAcentral
AGGUUAAAAGCCCAGAGAAGACCGCCAGGGGCGCGUGGAAAUGGUGUCCCUCGUCUCCAAGGCCCAGACGGAGCUUAGCUUCCUCUUGAAGGAGCCAUAUCUGUAUUUCUGGUGAACGUCGUGUUUGACAUCAAAGGAAUGUUUAGAGACAUGAUUUCAGCCUUCCUUACGCAGAGAAUGCUCAUCAAAAAAUAAAAUGGACACACCAUACACUGACGUCACUCAGAUUUCUAUGGCUGGAAGUUAACAAAUAUUGUUUUCAAAUGCGUGUAGCCUGAUGCUCCAGAGUUAGUUUGGCGAGCCUCAGCAUUUUCUGUCAGGCACAAGAAAGAAAAGACUCCAGACACCAUGAUGUGGAACGUGGAGUGGGGAUGUUUGGUGGCCUUGAAGUAAGUGAAUAACCCUUCUGUCUGUUACCUCAGAAAAUAUUUAUCCUGCUUAUACAGCAGUGAUUGUGUCAAACCCAACAAGUAAUACUCUUGUUCAAGAUAGUAUUUCAUACUCCAUAUACAGAGAUGUAUUCAAUAUUUUAAGUGUUUUACAAGUGUCUGAAAAGACAGAAUUCAUCAAAUGUCAUAUGGCAAUGAAAAGGGCAACAUGAACACUUUCUGUAAAGAAGAAAUAACCACCAAACUAGAUGUCUAUACACAACAAAAUGUCUUUUAUGGAAGUGUGAUAUAAAACUAUUUGAAACCAAAAAUGAUAAAUGUAAUGGAAAUACAUUUACACAAAAAAUAAUGUUUAAAAUAAUACUCAAGGCCAAAGAAAGUUGAUCUCAGGUGAAAAGUCUGCAAUGAGAGAAGAAAUGAAGAUGAAAAGAAGUGCAUCUUUUGAUUAAAAUAACAGCAUAUUACAGUGUAAAACAUAAGUAGAUAUACUUAUUGAGUUAGAAUGAUGGAAUUCCCGUGCGUAACCUCAACUACAUAUAAAUUGAAAGGAGGCUAGUUGCUCAAAGUUUUAAAUUUUUUAUAUUUCCAAGUGGAAAGCAAAUGUAUUACAAUCCUGUAUGGCACGCUAAUGUGUUAAACGUUUGUAAUUUUUAGCCUAAAUAUAAUAAAUACAGUCAGCGUAUAUACUUUUCAAACUAGAAGAGGAAAUGUUUGGAAUAUAAAUAAAUAAUCAAUAGAAAGGUAAAAUAAUAGUAAAAUAAGUGGAAGAAGUGAGGCAAAGAAAAGCACAAUGUAGGAUAUAUUUAAACUGUCAACCUAAAUAACAGAGAUUCUUCAAAGAUGUUGAGUUCAUUCAGGAAUGCACAGGGGAUUUGCAAAUCCAGGACAUGCAGGCUAUAGGGACUAUAGGCAUAUCCAGAGAGCUUGAAACAAGGAGAAGCUUUCAAAGGCAAAAGGGAAAAGUAUAUAUAAUUUGUUUUGAGAUAAAAAGAACAUUGGUCACAGAUGUUUAUGGCAGAGGUUAACACCAGUUCAUUAGUGGAGACAAUCUGUCAGGCAAGUGUUCUACUACAUCUAGAGCUGUCCUUGUAACUCCUGUAGCAAGCUGCGGUUUGAGAAGUUCUUGUCAAAACUUCUUUUAACGGGAAUAUGUGCAUUAAGAGCCCUCAGAGACAGUAAUAGCUCUUAUCUUAAGCAUGUGUGUUUGAGUGCCCUCUUUUCUCAGCCUCCUGGCUUUAUUUAUUUAUUUACUUAUUUAUUUAUUUUACACAAGUUACUCAUUUUGGUUUUGACAACUUUUGCAAAACCUAAAUGACUAUGCAAUAAAUACUCAAAUAAGCAGUUAGUAAUUUUUGAUGGACCAAAACACGCUUCACGAGGUAUUCUCUUUUCUUCAGUGAAUUUCCACAGAAUUUGAAUUGUGAUUGAAAGCACAACUAACAUUCCCAGACUCCCUACUCUGUCAGUAAGAAAAGAAUCAUGUUGUAGUUAGAAACGUCCAAAAUCUGCUUUAGAGAAACCAAGACCUACGCUUGAAGGUUACCAGGCCCUUGACUCACCCAACUGGGCUGAGAUGUCAUCAGGGAACUGCAUAUCAUCAGCAUCUUCUGGUUAUUCAUACAGGGGUGGGAUAAGGAUGACAAUAAUUUACAUUUAAUAAUGUCCAUAUCCUAGACAUUCUAUCAGACCUUUUAUAAACACUACGCACUUUUGCCCUGUAAAGUGGAUUUGUCACCUAAAUUAAUAUGAGGAAACUGAGGUUUCUUGGGUCUAUAAUUUAUUUUCAGCUGUAGCUGUUAAGUGGCAUAGUUGGCAAUGGAGUCCAAGGAGCCAUGACUAACUACUUCCCAGCAUGGCCUCCUACCCUAGGUCAUCUAUCUGGGUAGGUUCAGAGCCCUUUCUAUGUUAGACAAACAAGGCUAUGAAAAAUUCAAUGUCCCAGGCAGCUGACAUGAGGACAAGAAUGUGUCUUGCCUUUUCUUCACCACAGAAACAUGAACCUUCAGCUUCAUUUAUUCCCUAAACGUGGGUUCCUUGGAUGCCAAUCAAGAAUCAAAACAGGAAAAGUCCUGCUGGCCCACAAAUACAGAGGGUUUGAUAGGUGAAAUGUUAUUGCCUGAGCCUCACCGUAUCAUCCCAACCACCCACAUAUCCUGUUACCUCUGCCUCCUAAUAUGUCUCAGGUCAUCUUCUUCUCAACACCUCCAAUUUCAUGCCCUUGGGCCAAUCUGCCAACAUUCCUGAGCUACACAAUGCCUUCUGCCUUGUAUCCUACAUCAGUUUUUUCUCUACUUUAGUUCAUUCUCCACAUAUCAUGCAGAAGAUGACUUCAACACAAAUCAGGUUCUAUUUGGGAGAAUCAGAAGCAUGUUGGUGGCUAGAGGGGGAAGGGCUUCCCUCCAAACUUUAGUGUUAUAACAUGGUUUAGGGUUAUAACCUGUCCUGCAUUUUCAGUGGUCCCACCAGUAAUUUCUAUGUUGUCUUUUUUGUCAGGCUCAUUGCUACUGUCCAGCCCCUAGGAUUUCUUCCUCAGCAGAGGACUCCUGUAAUGCCCCUGACUCAAUCCACAUUCUCUUCCUCCUCUCUCCUUUACAGCAAGAACUAAAAUCAUUUCCUUGCAGACCUAGGCCAGCGAACAGGAGAUUCACAACCAUGUUAUCGAUUUGGUGCUGCCCUUCACACUUCAUGGAACAUGAAAGCUCAGUGAGGGUCUGAGUCCACUUCCCAGCAGAGAGAGCAUAGCCAUGUGCCAUUUAUGUGAGAGUGCAAUCUUGGUACAUUUAGAGUAACUGUUUAAUCCAAUAUGCAGAUGGAUGGUGUUCAAUUAGGAAUUCUCAAAAUUUUUUUAAAAAGAAUUCUCAAAUAAAAAUCUCAUAUAAUUCCUAUUCCAUUUAAAGCCAAUGAUUUUGUUUUCCUGUGCUUUGAAACUAGAACAUCCUUGUUGUCUCAAUCCCAAGACGGAAGCCAAGCUAAAAAACAAAAGGAGCAGGACUUCACAGAAGCCCUAAGGCUCAAUGAAGGAUGGGCCAUUGCACAUUGCACAGUCUUUUUAAAAAAACAAUAAUUGUACUGCUAUCCACACAUCCUUGUGAGUCAUUUCUCAUCAGACAUAUAUUCUAAGCCAUAUGCAGUACAUACAGCUCUAAAUUCUAGUAAUCAUCCUGACAGAAUUCUAAUGAAGGAGGUGGAUGAGCAUUUACCAGAUUCAAAUGAAUGCAAACUGAAAAAUAGGCAAAACUAUGUUAGAUGACAAUGUAAGAAAUCAGACAUGCCACAAAUUAGACCUCCUUGAUGGGUGAAUGACUUACAGCGGGGGUUACAGAAAUGCUGGUAUGGCUGGGCGCAGUGACUCACACCUGUAAUCCAGUACUUUGGGAGGCCUAGGUGGGCAGAUCACGAGGUCAGGAGAUCGAGACCAUCCUGGGCAACAUGGUGAAACCCCGUCUCUACUAAAAAUACAAAAAAUUAGCCGGGCAUAGUGGUGCGUGCCUGUAGUCCCAGCUACUCGGGAGGCUGAGGCAGGGGAAUCGCUUGAACCUGGGAGGCGGAGGUUGCGGUGAGCUGAGAUUGCACCACUGCGCUCCAGCCUGGUGACAGAGUGGGACUCUGUCUCAAAAAAGAAAAAAAAAAAGAAAUGCUGGUAUACUAACACUGUUCUUUUUUGAUUGGCACACUGCUUUUAGAGAUGUGUUGACUUUGGGAAUAUUCAUUGAGCUGUACAACUACAUGUUAAUUUUUGUGAAUGUCAUUUGUAAAUUAAAAUUUACCAAAAGUUCAUGCUAACAAAC